RNAcentral lists this ribosomal RNA (478 nucleotides) under uncultured bacterium. RNAcentral's name for it is "partial 16S ribosomal RNA". It matches the Rfam family "Bacterial small subunit ribosomal RNA", at positions 28 to 523 of the family's 1533-position model. The record is from RNAcentral.
GACGAACGCUGGCGGCGUGCUUAACACAUGCAAGUCGAACGGUAAGGCCCUUCGGGGUACACGAGUGGCGAACGGGUGAGUAACACGGGGGUGAUCUGCCCUGCACUUCGGGAUAAGCCUGGGAAACUGGGUCUCCUACCGGAUAGGACCCUGGGAUGCAUGUCCUGGGGUGGAAAGCUUUUGCGGUGUGGGAUGGGCCCGCGGGCUAUCAGCUUGUUGGUGGGGUGAUGGCCUACCAAGGCGACGACGGGUAGCCGGCCUGAGAGGGUGAGCGGCAACACUGGGACUGAGAUACGGCCCAGACUCCUACGGGAGGCAGCAGUGGGGAAUAUUGCACAAUGGGCGCAAGCCUGAUGCAGCGACGCCGCGUGAGGGAUGACGGCCUUCGGGUUGUAAACCUCUUUCAGCACCGACGAAGCGCAAGUGACGGUAGGUGCAGAAGAAGGACCGGCCAACUACGUGCCAGCCGCCGCGGUAA